CAGGAAAAGCCCUGGCCAACUUCCUGUCCCACAAGUUGUAGGAAAGGGUGUGAUGCCCUCCUCUCCACCCACUCUGCACUCGGCUUCUCCCGAGGCCCCCUGGGAGGCCACAUGGGAGUCCAGAGUCAGGAACUGGGCCCCUGGAUUUAAGUGCAAUCACCUGCCUGACUUACUGUAGUAGCCACACCAGGUGAUCCAUAUUCCUGUACAGCCUCCUGCCCCAGAGUGUGGCUGCGUCCUGUGACUUGCUUCUCAUCAAUAGAAUACGGCAGAGACGAUGGGAAAUCACUGCCGUGAUUACGUUUCUUUAUAGAGGAUUCUGUGCGACUGGAAGAGAAAGACUUUUCUGCUAGUCCUGAAGAAGCAAAAACUCUCAUGUAUGAGCUGUCAGUGGAGAGGGCCAUGGGGCAGGGGGCUGUGAGGCGCCUCUAAAUGCCGAGAGACAGCAGGAACACAGGGCCCUCAGUCCUGAGCUGUGAGAAGAUGAAUUCUGUUGACAGCCCAGGGGAGUGUAGAGGGGGUGAUUCCCGCCCCCCCCCCUCAAGCAUCUGAUGAAGACUGCAGCCCUGCUGUUUCCUGGCUCACCCUGUAGGGGGCGACAUCCUGGAGAUUCUGCCUGCUGAGGAUAGGCUCCUAACAGGUCCCUGGCUGCUAUGCAGAGGAUGGGCUAGAGGCGGGGGCACCCACGGAAGCGGGGAGUAGAAGCUUCUGCGGUGGUCAAGAUGUGAGAUGAUGCCCACAGAUCGCCUCGGAAACGGUACUGCCUCUGUGUCCGCGUGCGCGCAUAUAUGUGUUUCCAGCAAUUCGCUCCAUGCCUCCGUGCCCCAGUUUCCUCAUCUGUAACCUUAAUGUAACAUCAACAGACCAAUCAGUUCUAGGCCGAAUGUGGGGAAGGCGAGAGUUGACCCCCUGAGCUCUCCAGGCUCCUAGGAGAGACGAGGAAACAGAUGAGGGGGACAAAUCAUAAUGGGGACCCGAGUGCCAGGAGCCUGUGGGAGGAGGGGCAGACCGCCUCUGCCUGGUGGGGGCCGGUGGGGGGCGGGGAGACAAAGCUGCCCCUGGGAGGGACGGUAGAGUGAGGCAGACGAGGAAGCCCGCCAGGCAGAUAGGAGGAGAUCGUGUGUUGGGCAAGGAACAGCAGGGGCCAAGGCUCAGGGGGUGGGAAAGCGAGUAAAGGAAAAGAAAUCAUUUUAAAAUCCUAGACUUUUAAAGCCGGAAGAGACCUUGGAGAUCGUUACAUGCAGAGGUUUCCAGGCAGGUCUUCGUUCAAGCAUGGGUACGUCUGAUUCUAUUACACAAAUCAGAUAGUAUUAAUAGCUAAACCCUUAUUGAGUGUGUCCUGUACUCCAGACGCUUUACACGCGCGGAUUCAAUUAGCUUUCCCAAUAACCCCAUGAGUUAGCCUACUACUGUUAGUAUCCUCAUUGUAUUGAUGAGGAAAAUGAGGCACAGAGAGGUUAAGAGACUUGUCCAUGGGCACACAGGGAGUCCGUGGGAGAGCCAGGAUUUGAACCCAGGCAGUCUGGUUCCCAGGCUGCGCACGCGGCUGCUAGGCCGCCCCGGCCUCUGUAUUAUGUGAAGGUGGGGGCUGCUCACUGGAAGGGCAAGGGCCGGCAGCUGUGGUUCCAUCCCUGUGCGGACAUGCCCCUGAGGCACAUGGGUAGAACCUGCCCCAAAGCGGCUCCCUGUGAAUACCACCCAUUAAGAGCCACCCUUCACCUGAUGGAGGAGCCAUAACCCUCCCCCC
Molecule: long non-coding RNA, 1747 nt
Organism: Felis catus (domestic cat)
Lineage: Eukaryota; Metazoa; Chordata; Mammalia; Carnivora; Felidae
Exons: 3
Source: RefSeq, a predicted model, not a curated record